Ilex paraguariensis (yerba mate) is the source of this 115-nucleotide non-coding RNA. NCBI's taxonomy places the organism in Eukaryota, Viridiplantae, Streptophyta, Magnoliopsida, Aquifoliales, Aquifoliaceae. The record is from the annotation of a GenBank genome assembly.
GCAAUCAUACAAGCACUAAUGCACCGGAUCCUAUUAGAACUUCGCAAUUAAGCGUGCUUGGACAAGGGUAGUGCUAGGAUGGGUGACCUCCUGGGAAUUCCUUAUGUUGCACCCU